This 495-nucleotide ribosomal RNA is filed under the name uncultured soil bacterium. Its description in RNAcentral is "bacterial SSU rRNA". It matches the Rfam family "Bacterial small subunit ribosomal RNA", at positions 26 to 518 of the family's 1533-position model. The record is from RNAcentral.
AGAUUGAACGCUGGCGGCAUGCUUUACACAUGCAAGUCGAACGGCAGCACGGGGGCAACCCUGGUGGCGAGUGGCGAACGGGUGAGUAAUAUAUCGGAACGUACCCGGAAAUGGGGGAUAACGUAGCGAAAGUUACGCUAAUACCGCAUAUGCCCUGAGGGGGAAAGCGGGGGAUUCGUAAGAACCUCGCGUUUUCGGAGCGGCCGAUAUCGGAUUAGCUAGUAGGUGAGGUAAAGGCUCACCUAGGCGACGAUCCGUAGCUGGUCUGAGAGGACGACCAGCCACACUGGAACUGAGACACGGUCCAGACUCCUACGGGAGGCAGCAGUGGGAAUUUGGACAAUGGGCGCAAGCCUGAUCCAGCCAUGCCGCGUGAGUGAAGAAGGCCUCGGUGUAAAGCUCUUUCAGCCGAAAGAAAACGACACGGUAAUAACCUGUGUGGAUGACGGUACCGGAAGAAGAAGACACCGGCUAACUACGUAGCCAGACAGCCGC